AAAUCAAGCUUUCUAAUUUUUUUUCUGCCAACUCAAGCUUUCUAAAUUAAUAAACGAAACCAAAUCAUCUUACAUCAACAAACAGAAAAAGCAUAAAACGAAAUCAAGAUCAUCAAAACUCAAGGUUUCUUAAUCAAUAAACGAUACCCAAAUCAUAAAUACAAGGUAUGUCCAAGAUGAGGAGUGUGUCGACCCUCGCCGCCUCGCUUAACCUGAGAUACUUUCAGAGAAUUGAAAGAGAAGAUGAGUCCAAGAUGAGGAUUGCUCACAUAUUUAUACUGAACACACACCGCCUUUCAGACCUAAUCAACGCAUCGAAGACACAUCAUGCGAGAAUAAAUCAACAGGAUUAAAGAGAAAUCAAUAAAGCAGUCUGUUACAGUCAUGAGAAGAGGCGCAAACGUCACCGCCUCCCGCCGCAUGAAGAUGAGAGACGAUCUUCGUGGGUUAGUUUACGCCGUAUUAGGGUUAGGGGGAGAGAGUUUCUGUUUUCACUUUCCAGGCCGGAUGUUUGCACGAUUCCAGGACCAAUAACAUACAAUAAACGGAAAGCCCAUGACGCCAUACAUUAAUGAAACGCUGCGGUGAGAGGGAAGAUGACACGUGUCAACACCACAGAGCACGAGUUUGUGACCUCGAUGCUGAGGUGGCUUCACCAGGAGAGAGCAAACUCUCUUUUAUAUAUAAAGAUAUAAAGAUGUGAUAUUUUGUUGUACCUUAAUAUUUAAUUAUGUAUUUCUUUUUAUAAUUUUAUAUCUCGGUGUAAAAAUUUGUUAAUUAAUAUUACUGUAAUAUUUUUAUAUAUGUGCUAGUUGUUUAUAAAAGUUUUAUGGAUUUAUAUUAAUAAUAAAAAAUAUAAAGACUAUAGUGUAAAUUAUAAAUAAUUUUAAAAUUUUGUUUUGGAAAAAUACACUUUGAAACUUCAUAUACAGUAUAUAUAACCUCUAUAAAUUAAUACUCUAUAAAUUAAUAUAAACUAAAAAUCUCUAUAAAAUAAUAUAAUUUUAUAGUUCCAAAUUUAUUUUUUUGUUCAAUUAGUAUAUCGAUAAAUUAAUAUCUCUAUAAUUUAAUAAAAAAAUUAUAGUUUUGGUGUAGUCCCAACAUUAUUAAUUUAUAGAUAUUUUACUGAAAUUAAGAAUUUUUUUUUUGGAGAUGGUCAUAAUUCAAUGUUUCUUCAACGAUUUUAAAGGAAAAAAAAAAACUACUUCCGACCAGAUACACUUCCAAUGUUCAACAUGAUACAAUCUGUAUUAUUAGAAUGCGUCGAACGAAACUCAUUCCUCGUCGUAAUUCAAAGUACAUCAAGCUAGUAUAUUUGGAAAUGCUCAAGGCUUGUAUGAAUCCGAAAGGGAGGGGUCCGAAAGUGAGGUAUAUAUUUUGUAUCAUUGUUACUGUUAGUGAGAAAUGAUGACUUGUAAUUAGUAGUACUAAUAGACUUCUUGUAUUACUAGCAUUACUAAGUACUAGCAUUACUAAGACUUCUUGUAUGUAUUUUCAUUGCAGGAGGAAAUGCAACCACCGCAACCCCUUGAGUUAUACUUCAAAAGCAGUGAGUUCACGAAGAUUUGCAAGAUACAAACCAAGUGCUAUCUGAGCGCGACACUAAAAGUCAUCAAGGAGACGCUUAAGAAGGAUCAGGCCGAAUGGUUCACGAGCCAUUCCCAGUUUCGACAUUUCUUUCACAUGCCAGAGGAACCAAACCUGAAGCUCCAAGGGAUGUGGAUGUUACUCCUGCACACCAUUUGUACUCCAGAAGAUGAUGUUGCAUGGUUUGCGGUUAAUGGUGUACCCAUCCGCUAUUCUAUGAGGGAGCACGCCCUCAUCUCUGGCUUAGACUGCACUGAGUAUCCGAGAAAAUAUAAGAAGAUCGGGGGUCAUGAGUUCGUGAAUUACUACUUCCAUGACAUAGAGAAGAUCACCAUCACUGAUGUGAAGCAGAAGCUGUUGUCUAUGCCGGAUUGUCCAGAUAAAUUGAAGAUGGCUGUCUUGUUUUUCCUUGGUACUGUUAUCAGAGGAAAGCCAAGGUAUGAGGGAAAUUUAGACUCCUUCAUAUUGAGGAUGGUGGAUGAUUUGGAUGCUUGCAAAACAUUUCCCUGGGGUCGUCUAACAUUUGAAGAUUCAAUAAGGGAGAUUAAGCGUGUGAUGAACCAAUUAAAGGGAGAAGUGACAAAAGAUGCAGUCUCCUUUCCUGGUUUCAUAGUCCCCUUAGAGGUAAGCAUAUAAUUUAGUAAAAGUUUUAGUUGUUAAAUAAUUGAAAAUCUGACAUGUAUGUGACACUGGAUUCUAUAGAUUCUGGCUUUUGAGUGUAUUCCUGCUCUGGGAAAAGAGUUUAGAAUCUAUCAAAAGAAUCCUUGUGCGGACUGUCCAAGGAUGUGCAAGAGCCGGUUUACAAAGACCAGUAUGAGGGGCUAUCCUUUGGAAGACAUAUACCGAGCGCUUGGAGACACAAAGGUACAUGUUUACAGUUAUAGUAGAAGCUAGUAGAACAUAAAAUUUAAUUAGUGUUAUUUUUUUUUCAGACUAUUCACAGUGUGUUGGAACCAAAUAUUGGUGAGGAAAUGUUGUUGGCUCGUAUCAUUGACUUGGAACGAGAGUAUGACAGUCAGGGCAGCCCAAGCAAGACUUGGAACCACUGGUUAACUGUGAAGCAGAAGAGUAUUUGGUGGGAAGAGCUGUAUGAUUUAGAUCAAGCUGCACGAGUGUUUACAAAAAAGAAGGACAAAGAAAAGGUGACGUUAGCAGAAGCAUCAUCCUCUGAUUCGAGCUUGCAAGGUCUGGAAAAGAGGCUUUUGGAUUUCAUGGGAGAAGCAUUUGUUGGACUUAACUUUACGGUGGAGACAAAGCUGGAGGCUGUUGAUUUGAGGCUGGGUGGAAUUGAAAAGAACCAGCGGCUGUUGAGAUGCAGGGCUAAAAAAAUAGAAAAAAGGCUAACAUCUAUCGAGAAUAAGGUGAGUGAGAAGCCGAAUCGUGGUGAAGACAUGGAUUUUGGACAGUGCGAUGGUACGGAUUUUGGACAGUGGGAUGGGAAGGAAAAAGAUGAUGCUGAGGAAGAAGAGAAGGAGAAGAGUGGCAAAGAGAAGGAGAAGAGUGGAGAGGUUGAUAAAGAUAAGGAAAACAGCGAGACUGGUGAGGAAAAUGGUAGUGAGCGAGAGUUGAACGAACUGAAGGAGAGAUGUAGAGUACAGGCUGAUGAACUAUGGAGGAAAGUAGAGGCAGCUGAGGCUGACGAGGAUCAAGCAAAUGACGAAAGGAAAGAGGCCGAUUUUAAGAUUUAAUCAUGAAUCUCUUAACAAGAUACUCCCGCAAAAGCCGAUUUUAAGAUUUAAUCCACGUGACUGGGUUUAAUCAGUAAGGCCGAUUUUUACUGAAUUCUCCAGUUCAAUCGAUUAUGCGGAAAAAGAGAGCUAUAGUUUCUCAUAUUAAUAGAAGAAAUUAAUGUUAUAUGUAAAUGUAUUGGAAAGCAUACAGAACUAGAAGUGUCAAAAUUGAUAAAAAUUAAUAGGUCAAUCUAGAGAUGACAAUCAUAGACCAUCUGACCUGGAGCACAGGUCUGGAUCGCGGACAUGGCCCGUAAAGGACUGUUGCAGGACGGUAUUAGACUGAAAUUUAUAUGCCCGCAAAUUAGAGAACUGUUGCGGGACGGUAUUGGACUGAAAUUUUAUAUGCACGCAAAUUAGAGGACCUCGCGGGAUGGGUUGUUGCGGGAUAGGCCGAAGCGUGCCAUGCGGGAUUACAAGGAUCCACGUUUUUCUUUCUUCUUCAUUUCUUGUUUACCUGAAAAAAAAUGAGAGAGAGAGUAAGAAGAAGGUGAUUCGUGUGACUUCCUCCCGAGAAAAUGAAUGGAGCUACGGCGAUGACGAUUCGAGCUCCGUCGAUUACGAUUUCGAGCUCCAAUGGUGAUGAUUCGAGCUCCAACGAUGAUGAUUUGAGCUCCGCUGGUGUUUAAAUUUGGUGUUUUUUAUUUAUUUAUUUUGGAAUUGGCAACUUUGAUUUGGUGUUUGGUUUUAUUUAAUUUUUAGAUUCAUCAAACUAAAACAUUUGUUAUGAACUUAUGAGUUAUAAGCUAAUGAAAAACAUCUUCUGCAAUUACCUUUAAUUGGUAUGUUAAUAUGCUUGGAGAGCUACCAUUGCUAUAGGAAUAAUAAGAAGUUCACAAAUCACAACUCAUUGAAAGCAACCAAUUCACUGAUACCUCAGGAAAGCCCGGCCAGAACCACACAAGUUAUCUUCCGAUAUUUUUAAAUAUCUCGAUUCUCAAAAUUGAUCAUGUCUAUUAGUCUCUUCAAGAUACAUUUCCAAAGAAGUCUUCCUACUAACAAUAACACUAGACUACUGGAAGGCUAAGAAUUCUGGAAAAACAUAAAUGUUCAAAUAAAACUCCAAGUCUAAAACUAUAAAUAUCUAAGAAGAGCGGCACAUCUAAAAGUCUAAGACACAUCUUAGAGACCAACACGUUAAAUGAAUACAAUAUUACCUAAUGAACAUCAUAGGAUAUAAUUAUUAAGAAAUCACUGUGAUGUUCCGCGUACAUAGUAGCAAAAGCAUAUCAUUCCACACCCAAAUAUGAAGGCUUUACCUCCAGGGAAGUACAAGCAAAUGAUAUGAAUGUAAAAAUCCUAUAUACAUCCAUGGAGACGUACUCUGUAACAUUCUAAUACUUAUGGCGUUUGUUUAUUGAGAAAUUGGCGGGAUUACACCCCAACAUUCAUAUAACAAGCCUUAUGCCCCCAUAUCUUCUUUCCAUUUUCCUUUGACAAUUUUACCCUUCACGGCCACAGAGGCUACAAAACGUAGCAUCGGGUCGCUUUUUGUUGCGUGUCAGAAGCCCCUCUUAUUUCCAUUGGACAAUACGAAGAUUCGUGAUUUUCGCGACUCCAAAAUGAUGAGACGUGAUCUGACCUUGUCGGUUUCGAGCAUCUAAGAGUCUCUUUAACUCCAUUUUCCCAACUAAUUUACACUCAUCCUUCCAUCUUCCCCCUUUCUUCCGUCGUUCUACUGUUCAUCGAACCCUAAAUCCCUAAUUCACAGUCACUUCACCUCCAGAAUCCUUCACGAUGGACAAUUUGAAUUUACCCCCAAGGAUCUUCGCCGCUGGCCACGAACCGGUGGGUGAGCGUGUUAACUCUUACCACAAGAUCAAGAAGACUGAAGUGAUUAUUGACGCGCUAGAACCCGAAGAAUUGGAGUUUUUACGGAACUCCACAUUUGGGAAGAUUAUCGCCAUUGACGAGAACCCUCCUUUUUCCGGCGCCUAUGGUCAGUACGUUGUAGUUAGAUUACUCAAAGUUAACAAAAAGUACGAGGUUUGGUUUCUAUUUGCCGGAAAUCCGAUCAGAAUGUCUCUCCGCGAAUUCGCCAUUGUCACGGGCUUGAACUGUGCCAAGCUUCCAGAACCCACUAAAAAGAAGAAGAACCCGUUGAAAGAGAAGAUUUACUGGAACGAACUGUUUGGGUCUCUCAAGUUCUGUACUUUAGACAUAGUGAUCGAUAUGUUGAAGAAGAAGGUAGUCAAAAGCCGCGAGGCUAGGAUCAAAUUCGCAUGUCUUGCUAUCACUUCGUCAAUCCUCUUUCCUUCUUCACACCAACCUCGCAUCAUACCGGAGCAUGUGGAGCUUAUCAGGGAUCUUGAUGAAUUUCUAGCUUUCCCGUGGGGGAGGGCUUCGUUCCAGUCUCUUGUUACCUCCAUUGUUGCUAAGGAUGAAAUCACAUUAGCGCAAUCUUCUGUUGCAGUUCGCGGUUACGUUGAUGCAAUUCAACUAGUCUUUCUUGCAGCAAUUCCACAGCUCAAAAAAGAAAUAUCUCACACCGAGCCGGUGGUUAUAGUAGAAUCGGAAAGCGACGGCGAGUCUCCGGAAGAAGUGUUGCCAUCAGAAGAUGACACCGCGGUAACGAAUGAUAAAACAUCUCAGCCGACCAAAUAUUGUCUCAUUCCUGGCCAUGCCAGGACUAUGGAUUCAGAAUGCAAGGUAACAAUUUCUAAAACAUCUAAUUUGGCCCGUUAACUGUUAACAUUUUUUAGUAGCGCCUAACAAAUAUAUGUUGGUGUUUCUUGAUCGCGAUCUGGCAUAGUUUUCCCGCUAACACCAUUAGAAUCUGUUAAGUUGGAAAUUAACCGUUAAACAUUGUGAAAUCCGAUAACAUCUCGAAAUACAUAUACUUUUUAAAUCUGAUAUACAUCCCCUAUGUUUUUCUUCCUCAUAUGUAGGUGCCUUUGAAGUGCAUUCUAGAUGAGCCGUACGAAGAAUGGUCCACUGGGUUAGACCUCACGUGGGCAGAUGAAACCGGUGAUGAUAUGGUAGACAACAUGGUUCGUUUGAUCGGGGAGGGGUUUGCUUUCCGGAAGGAAAUGUUUAAAGGUGGUCUCACCUCGGCCGAUCUUGUUAGAAUGAGGACAUGGAAGAAACUGAAGGGAAAAUAACCCAAAGAAAAAACCGAUAAGGAACCAGUAGCCGAGGUUACGCACGCCGAGGCACCCGACCAAUUGAGGGGGUACCCCCCCCUCUAAAUUAAUAAACGAAACCAAAUCAUCUUACAUCAACAAACAGAAAAAGCAUAAAACGAAAUCAAGAUCAUCAAAACUCAAGGUUUCUUAAUCAAUAAACGAUACCCAAAUCAUAAAUACAAGGUAUGUCCAAGAUGAGGAGUGUGUCGACCCUCGCCGCCUCGCUUAACUUGAGAUACUUUCAGAGAAUUGAAAGAAAAGAUGAGUCCAAGAUGAGGAUUGCUCACAUAUUUAUGCUGAACACACACCGCCUUUCAGACCUAAUCAACG
RNAcentral lists this long non-coding RNA (6772 nucleotides) under Brassica napus (rape). RNAcentral's name for it is "long non-coding RNA (BNAP_LNC010250)". Lineage: Eukaryota; Viridiplantae; Streptophyta; Magnoliopsida; Brassicales; Brassicaceae. The record is from RNAcentral.